UACAGAGGUCUCAAGCGUUGUUCGGAUUCAUUGGGCGUAAAGGGUGCGUAGGCGGCGCGGUAAGUCGGGUGUGAAAUCUCGGAGCUUAACUCCGAAACUGCAUUCGAUACUGCCGUGCUUGAGGACUGGAGAGGAGACUGGAAUUUACGGUGUAGCGGUGAAAUGCGUAGAUAUUACAUGGAAUACCAAUUGCGAAGGCAGGUUACUAUCAAUAUAUUGACGCUGAUGGACGAAAGCGUGGGGAGCGAACAGG
Molecule: ribosomal RNA, 253 nt
Filed under: uncultured bacterium
Lineage: Bacteria
Description: partial 16S ribosomal RNA
Rfam family: Bacterial small subunit ribosomal RNA
Source: RNAcentral